AAAUUGAAGAGUUUGAUCAUGGCUCAGAUUGAACGCUGGCGGCAGGCCUAACACAUGCAAGUCGAACGGUAACAGGAAGAAGCUUGCUUCUUUGCUGACGAGUGGCGGACGGGUGAGUAAUGUCUGGGAAACUGCCUGAUGGAGGGGGAUAACUACUGGAAACGGUAGCUAAUACCGCAUAACGUCGCAAGACC
RNAcentral lists this ribosomal RNA (194 nucleotides) under Escherichia coli. Its description in RNAcentral is "partial 16S ribosomal RNA". It matches the Rfam family "Bacterial small subunit ribosomal RNA", at positions 1 to 188 of the family's 1533-position model. The record is from RNAcentral. Lineage: Bacteria; Pseudomonadati; Pseudomonadota; Gammaproteobacteria; Enterobacterales; Enterobacteriaceae.